Long non-coding RNA from Bombyx mori (domestic silkworm), 414 nucleotides. RefSeq lists it as uncharacterized. NCBI's taxonomy places the organism in Eukaryota, Metazoa, Arthropoda, Insecta, Lepidoptera, Bombycidae. The record is from RefSeq and is a predicted model, not a curated record. The transcript is spliced from 2 exons.
GCAUGGCAAUCUUAUCGUGGUUCCAUAAUGUUUACUUCCAUGACGAUUUUCUUGGGAAAGUAGUUGCAGUGGUUUCCCCUUGCCUUCUGCACCAGACUUAUUGAGGUUAUUUGAACCCCAAGGCCUCUGAAGCCUCUUCUAACCGCUGGCCAGGAUUAUGGUUAUACCGCCACUACUCGGUCGCCGUUGCCUCGUCCGUUAUCUAGCAGGAGGACCGCGGUAACACGAAGAUACCGCCGCGGAUGAUGCGUUAUCCGCGCGUGCAGACUACCAUCGAUUCUGAAUUUGACCACUGAGAAGAAUCGGCAAGAAGCAGAGACCAUGCUUUUUUCCAAAUAUGUGUACAUCAUACUCAAAAUGUGUGAAUUAUUAUAUAUUUUGUACAUAAAUAAAGAUGAUUUGAACUAGAAGAAA